GGGGUAUAGUGACACAGUAACAGAGGGAUUGAGGGCCCUGCUCAGUGAGUUUACAUGUUAGAGGGAGUGGGGUAUAGUGACACAGUAACAGAGAGAUUGAGGGCCCUGCUCAGUGAGUUUACAUGUUAGAGGGAGUGGGGUAUAGUGACACAGUAACAGAGGGAUUGAGGGCCUGCUCAGUGAGAUUACAUGUUAGAGGGAGUGGGGUAUAGUGACACAGUAACAGAGGGAUUGAGGGCCUGCUCAGUGAGUUUACAUGUUAGAGGGAGUGGGGUAUAGUGACG
Molecule: non-coding RNA, 284 nt
Organism: Pelobates cultripes (western spadefoot toad)
Lineage: Eukaryota; Metazoa; Chordata; Amphibia; Anura; Pelobatidae
Source: the annotation of a GenBank genome assembly